ACGAUUCUCUGAGAAGGACACGGUCUUCUGAUUUUCUUCACUCUGCUUUUUUUGCUAACAAAGGCUUUACAAGAUGUCUGUAAAUAGCACUGAGAGUAUAGACUAUGAUAUAAUCAUUGAGAAACUUAAGACCAUCAAUGAAAACCAAGUAAGUCUGCCUAUCAACAUAACCAAACCAAAAGACAUCCGUCAUGAGGUCGGGAUGGCCUACUUUAUUAUAUACUGUAUCAUUCUCAUCCAUGGCAUCACCCUCAACUUCUCCAUCAUUGUCUUCGGCUGCUGCAAACACAAGAGUCUCCCGAAAGCUGCUAUUUGGAUCAUGGCAUUGGCAGCAACACAUUUAGCCUCCUGUGUAUCUGUCGUGUUUCAGCUCCUGUAUGUUUACAAUGACUUUAAUUGGAAUUAUGGGGAUGUUAGCUGCAAGCUGUCAUCCUAUUUCACCUACGGCAGCAUGUUCUCCACUGCAAGCAUGCUCAGUCUCUGGAGCAUCAGUUCUAUUUUUUCAAACAGCGCAUGCUUCAACAAGAGCAAGAACUGUAACGUCAUUCUGAUUUCAUUCGCCUGGACCAUUGCAGCAAUCCUGGCAUGCCCUUCGCUGUUUUCAAGAGAGGUUAGAGAAAAACAGUGCAUUGAUGACUAUGAUUUGGACGACAAUUCAGAAACUGCAGAUGGCAUCAAAAGGCUACAGACUGUAGUUGUCAUGCGAUUUCUCACUGGACUUUUGUUGCCAGCUUUGAUAAUAUUUGUCAGCUGUUGUGUGGCAUCAAAAACAAGAAAAUGUAAAUUGUGCAAGAAGCAGGCAGAGAUCAUCUUUGCUAUAAAGAUCAUCUACUUUGUGUGCUGGG
Non-coding RNA from Danio rerio (zebrafish), 845 nucleotides. The record is from Ensembl. Lineage: Eukaryota; Metazoa; Chordata; Actinopteri; Cypriniformes; Danionidae.